CUUCAACCUGGCAGGAGCAAAACUCUCAGGGAUCAUCGUACAGCAUGGCCUUCCACACAAGCUGUUUUUCGAUAUCACAGGGAGGAGUGAAGAGGUAAUGGUGAAGAAAUCUCCCAAUUGGAGCCUCUUUAGAACUUCCCUGAAUGGCACCAUAGAGUCAAAGACUUACAAAACAUCAUAGUUGGAGGUGAACUCAGAGCUCAUCCACCACAACCCAAAUCUAGAAAAUAAUUCCUUCAAUAAGAAGAAAAUUUCUGACUGUGUUGGAAGUCCCUCCACUAAGGAAAAAUCCAAGGCCUGAUGAAAAUGUUUCAUCUCUGAGAUGCUUCUCUGCUGUGAUCUGGCUACUGAGACCGUGAAUAAUGUAUGUGCCCUACUUUAUCCAACAUUCCCAGGGAGUUACUGCCUGGAACUCACUUAAGCAAACACACCCACUGUUUCCCAACUUCACCCACUGUUUCCCCGCUCCAACCCUUUAUGUAGGUUAGCUGGGCAAAAACCUUGGAUCCACUAUGCACCUUAACCUCACUCUUUAUUUCCUGAAAAUAUUGAUAGGAUUAUAGAAUUAAGCAUGGAAAUAAGAUUUCUAAUCAAACUCCAUUUUACAGAUAAGGAAACU
Molecule: non-coding RNA, 619 nt
Organism: Phascolarctos cinereus (koala)
Lineage: Eukaryota; Metazoa; Chordata; Mammalia; Diprotodontia; Phascolarctidae
Source: RefSeq, a predicted model, not a curated record